This is a long non-coding RNA of Loxodonta africana (African savanna elephant), 30610 nucleotides long. RefSeq lists it as uncharacterized. Lineage: Eukaryota; Metazoa; Chordata; Mammalia; Proboscidea; Elephantidae. The record is from RefSeq and is a predicted model, not a curated record. The transcript has 2 exons.
UUGCAAUAGGAUGCUAACUGUAAGUUUGGCUGUUCAAACCCACACAGUGGCUCCAUGGGAGAAAGGACUAAUAAUCUACUUCUCUAAAGAUUACAGCCAAGAAAACCUCAUGAAGCAGUUUUAUUCUUUGACAUAUGGGGUUGCCAUGAGUCAGAAUCCAUUCAAUGGCAGCAGGUUUGGUUUUUUGUGUUUAUUGUACACACAGGAGCCUGGAUGGUGCUCGCGGUUUAUGAUUGACUGCUAACUCAAAGGCUGGCUGUUCGAACCCGUCCAGCAGCUCCACAGAAGAAAAGGCCUCACAAACUACUUCCAUAAAGAUUACAGUCAAGAAAGCCUUACGGAGCAGUUCUAUAACACAUGGAGUCACUAUGAGUCAGGACCCAACUGGAUGGCAGCCAACAACAUCAACAAUAAUAUACACACAAGGCUUGCCUUCUUAUAAAUAAAAGGCUGUAGUGCUAAUUCUAGUUUAAUGAAUUACAAUAUUGCUUACAAGUACUAGAUGCUCCUUCUUUGAGGUGAACCAUACUUCCUUUCUCCGUCAGUAUCUGACUUGACCAGAGGAUUUGGUUUGGUGUGGGACGUAAGCGGAAAUGACUUUUAGCAGAAACUUGAAAAUCAAACGCAUGUGUGUUGGUCAUGCUCUGUUCCCUUUGCCAAAGCUAUCAACGUUCCAGAUAGAAGCUGUUCUAUCAGACUGGCUCCCAGAGUGAAGAAGACACAGAAGGGUGUAUUAAUGAAUCUGUAAUGGAUGUGUAGCAUGAGUAAGAAAUAAGUAUUUGUUGUUAAAAAAAAAGACAGUAAAUUGAGGGUCAUUUGUCAUCAGAGUAUAAUCUAGCCUAUCCUGACUGAUAAGGAAAUAGGUACCUAAAAGUAGAGGGAUGCUAUAAAAACAAUAACAAAAACAACAAUGAAACAUAAAACAUGAGGCAUACAGGAACAGGCAGAAGAUGGCAAGGGAACUGGUAUCUGGGUCUAAAAGAACACACAUCCAUAUUACGCAGUGGUAAAGCAGCUGGCAAUGUCAUCUGCGAUAACUCUGAAGGCAGAUAUUUUGUCAAAUGAGCUUGCAUGUUUAGACAAGGACACGGGAAAGUCGAAUGUGCAGAGAUGAAAAUGAAAUUGAUUCUCAUUUCUAACUGUUAAAAAGAUAAAACUGAGAAGGUAUCGGGGUUAAAGACAGUCAAUUAAAACUUUGCUUCAUUGCAAGGACCAAAUCAAGAGUCAGCCUUUUGUUAGAAUCUCUGGAUAUACUUAAUUUUCUGGAUAUACUUAAUUUGGUAUCCAUAAACUUUCAGGUGAACAAAAUGGCUAAGAGAGAAGAAACUAAGGCAGUGGCUUUCCAUCAGAAGCCUGUUAGGCUCAAAGUACCUAAAAGUAAAUUUAGAGAUUGACGUUUGUCUAAAAAAGAAAUUGUAGGUGUGGUUAUUGGCACAUGUUGUGAUUGCAAACGACUAGUUAAAAAGGGAAUUUUUUAGACUAAGAUUUCCCCUUUUCAAAAAAGGAAGUGUUUAUUUUAGUAAUCCUUUCACUGCUCCUCCGUUAUACACUGGGCAUGGAGGCGGUAGCUAACUAUCUUGUCUUUUCUCUUACAUGGGACUAUGGAAGAAGAGGAGCCAUGGCAAAUGAUAUUCUAAAAGAAUGCAUAUUGGCAUUUGAGUCAAAUCUUCCAAGGGCAAAGAGAAGUUAUCAUCCUAAAAUCCAAUAGGCGGAAGUAAAUUGUUACCUGUCUCAGUACAUAAAUCACCCGAGUCUGGACCAAACUGCAAUGGACCAAUCUUACCUGGUAUUACAAUAAUAAGUUAAAUCAAAAGGGAAAGGUCAUAGAAUUUGAACUUAAUAAUAAAGUAAAUAUAUUACAAAAAUUAGUACCAAUUUAAAAAAUGUGAAAGAUAGUCUCCAGGCUUCUUCUAGAGUUAGAGUACCCCUACUUGGAAGUCUUUGUAAUCUUGUCAUAUCCAAAUGGUUGUCAUUAUCUUCCUAGUUAGUCCUAAACUAUUGGUGAGCAUGGCAGAUACCAACAAAUUCUUUCAUUAUGCCUUGGAUAAUAGUCAUAUGUAAAGAUAUAAUAGAUUUAAAAAGGAUUUUGCCCAUCUGUUCCCAAAUGAUACAAAUAAUAAGGGAAGAAAAUAAAAUCAUGGCUGUGAAUUCACUGUAUUGCAAAAAAAAUAAAUAAAUAAGGCUGGUGAGGGUAUAAUGAACCUGGCAAUAUGUUAUAGACUGAAUUGUGUCUCCCCAAAACCUGUGUUAUAAUCCCUAACCCCUAUAGUUCUGGAAAGGAGCCCUGGUGGCACAGUGGUUAAGUGCUUAGCUGCUAACCAGGUCGGUGGUUUGAGCACACCAGCCACUCCACAGGGGAAAGAUGUGGCAGUCUGCUUUCAUAAAGAUUUAUAGCCUUGGAAACCCUACGGGUGCAGUUCUACUCUGUCUGAUAGGGUCACUAUGAGUCAGAAUCGACUCAACAGCAAGGUUUUUUGUUUUUUUUUAUACUUGUGGAUGUAAUGCCAUUUGAGAAUGGGGUUUUCUUUAUUAUGUUAAUGAGGCCAUACCAGUGCAGGGUGGGUCUUAAGCCAAUCAUUUUUGAGAUAUAAGCCAAGCUGAUAAUGCAGAGAGAAGCAAGCAGAGAUGAAGAUAGAUGCCACACCUCAUGGAGAUCUCCAAGGAAUGAGAAAACAGGAGCUGAAGAGACAAGGACUUUCCCCCAGAGCUGCUACAGAGCAAAAGCCUUCCCCUAGAGCCAGCAUCCUUAUUUUGAACUUUUAGCCUUCUAAAACUGUGAGAAAAUAAAUUUGUUUGUUAAGGCCACCCACUUGUGGUAUUUCUGUUAGAGCAGCUCUAGAUAACUAAGACAUAAACUCAUAGUUAAUAUACUGCCUAGUCACAGCAAAUAUUAACAAUGCCACACUGGAAGACAGUGGCAUUGUAUGUUUUCAAGGGACCCCAAAACAAUCAUAUUCCUAGAUUAAUAAUUAGAUCUUUAGGAACCUAUCAUGAGGGAACCAACCCCAAAAUAAUAACAAAGACCAUAAAAACUCUAUAUAAUACAUUCCAAGUUGUUUUAUAAGAAGCAAAAUAGGAAACAACCAGCAAUAUGAGAAUGGCUACAUAAUUAUUGUGUCUUCAUAGGAUAGAAUAUUAUGGAGCUAUUAAAAUAGUAGUUAUGAAGGCCAUGCCAUAACAUCAAAAAUAUAUAUAGUAAAAUUCUAAGCAAAAAAUAAAGGUACAAAAUUAUAUGCACAUUAUGAAUAAAACUGCAAAACAAAAUGAAAACAAGACAAAGAAAAAAACUGUACAUGGUUUCACACACCUGCUAGGAGUUCCCUUUUGGAGCCCCUUAGUUUCAAAAGCCUUAGAAAUGGUCAUAUCCUUCGAUUGAGUAACUUAACAUCUGAAACUGUAUCUUAAGAAAAUUAUCUACAAUGCAGAAAAAAGUGUAGGAAGAAGGAUUUUUUAUUAUAGCACUGAAGCAUUUUUUAAAUUUGGAAACAACUGGAACAGCCUAAAUGCCUAAGAAAAAUAAAGAACAAAUGGUUAAAUUAUAGCUUGUCUGUAUGCAGAGUAUUAUGCAGCCAUUUAGAAUGGAAGAUUUGAAUGGCAAAGAGAAAUUCAUAAAUUUAAGAGAAAAAGCAGUGUUCAUUUAUAUAUAUAUAUCUGUAACAAUAUUAACUAAAACCAAACCCAAUGCCAUCAAGAUGAUCCCAACUCAUGAUUUAAAACUGUAGAGAAAGAGGAAAAUACAGCGAAAUUUAACAGUGGUUAGUUCAGAAUCGUCAAAUUCUUAAUGCUUUUCAUCUUCUUUCUUAUGUUUUUCUAUAUUUUCAAGUUGUAUAUAAUACGCAUUGUUGUUGUUAGUUGCCAUUGAGUUGAUUCCCACUCAUGGCAACUCCAUGGGUACAGAGCAGAACUGCACCAUAGAGUUUUCAAGGCUGUGACCUUUUGGAAUCAGAUCACCAAACCUGUUUCUAGGCACCUCUGGGUGGUAUUAAGCUGCUAACCUUUCAGCUAGUAGUCAAAUGCUUAACUGUGCUACCCAGUGAUUCCCAUAAUAACCAUGUUGUUGUUGUUGUUAGGUGCCAUCGAGUCGGUUCCGACUCAUAGCGACCCUAUGCACAACAGAACGAAACACUGCCCAGUCCUGAGCCAUCCUUACAAUCCUUGUUACACUUGACUUCAUUGUUGCAGCCACUGUGUCAAUCCACCUCCUUGAGGGUCUUCCUCUUUUCUGCUGACCCUGUACUCUGCCAAGCAUGAUGUCCCUCUCCAGGGACUGAUCCCUCCUGACAACAUGUCCAAAUUAUGUAAGAUGCAGUCUCACCAUCCUUGCCUCUAAGGAGCAUUCUGGCUGCACUUCUUCCAAGACAGAUUUGUUCGUUCUUUUGACAGUCCAUGGUAUAUUCAAUAUUCUUCACCAACACCACAAUUCAAAGGCAUCAACUCUUCUUCGGUCUUCCUUAUUCAUUGUCCAGCUUUCACAUGCACAUGAUGCGACUGAAAAUACCAUGGCUUGGGUCAGGCGCACCUUAGUCAUCAGGGUGACAUCUUUGCUCUUCAACACUUUGAAGAGGUCCUUUGCAGCAGAUUUGCCUAAUGCAAUGCGUCUUUUGACUUCUUGACUGUUGCUUCCAUGGCUGUUGCUUGUGGAUCCAAGUAAAAUGAAAUCCUUGACAACUUCAAAUAAUAAGCAUAGUGAGCAUGUAUUAUUUUUAUAAUCAGAAAAAUCAUAAAGGCCUACAAGGGGAAAAAGAAAAUAUCUAUAUUGGCAAGUAACUGCGUUAAGGUGAUUGAUAGAGGGUUGAGUGCUUGUUUUUUUCUUGUUUCCACAUUUCACAGAAUGCUGUUGUUGGGUGCCAUCGAGUUGAUUCUGACCCAUAGAGACCCCUUGUAACAGAGUAGAACUGCUCUCAUAGGGUUUUCUAGGCUGUAAUCUUUACAGAACAUAUUGCCAGGUCUUUCUCCUACAGAACCGCUGGGUGGGUUCAAACUUUCAAUUAGCAGCUGAGCACUUAACCGUUGGCCAUCAGGGCUCUUUCAAAAACUAUCAUUUUUACUCAGAUGAUCUAUAUCAUGCUUUAUUUGCUCUCUGGUAAGAUUGGGCACUAAUCAUAAUAUGUUACACUUUUGUCAAGAUUUACAGGUUGUAAAAUACUUUACUUGUAUUCAUUCAAUACUUACACCACCCGUGUGAGGCUGAUAUUGUUAUCAUGUUUCGGUUGCAGAAAUUAAAACUCAGAGGUUAAGUGAGACUGUCCAAAUCAUGCAGCAGAAAUGUAACUGAGCAAACCUUAGACCCAGUGGCUCUGCUUCCAAAUAUUAUACUCCGUCAGUUUCCGUGGAACAUUUAUAGCAAUUCUUAUCAGGAAUGAUAUAGCACUAUGUCACUGCAAACACGAUACAAAUCCUUUAAGCAUCUAAGACAUUUACUGGGAGACAUCGACUUUUAUUUGCUUUAUACCUUCUCUUUCCACUGUCCUAACAGUGAUUAAUUUUUUAGGACUUAGGCUUUGGUGUUUCAGUCAGUGCUUUUCAAACACAUCUCCAAUUCUUUGAUAUGUUCAACUAAUUAAGCAGUGAUGACGACUUUGCAUGAAGUAUUUUUUUAAUUAGCCACAGUGAUUCCCAGAUUAUUCAGCCUGGGCUCAGGACCCUUAAUAUUCAAACUGUCAAGCUAACGCAUGUAAACUCUUUAUUUAAAUAGUGAUAUCUGAGAUUAGGAAAUCCUGGUAGUGGUUAAGUGCUACAACUCCUAACCAAAAGGUCGGCAGUUUGAAUCCACCAGGCGCACCUUGGAAACUCUAUGGGGCAGUUCUAUUCUGUCCCAUAGGGUUGCUAUGAGUUGGAAUCCACUCAAUGACAAUGGGUUUGGUGUUUGUUUUUUAUCUGAGAUUAAGCUCAAUAAAGGUUUCUAUGGAAACUAAGUAUUAAAAGUAAAGAUGCCACUUUGAGGACUAAGGUGCACCUGACCCAAGCCAUGGUAUUUUCAAUUGUCUCAUGUGCAUGCAAAAUCUGGACAAUGAAUAAGGAAGACUGAAGAAUUGAUGUCUUUGAAUUAUGGUGUUGGUGAAGAAUGUUGAAUAUACCAUGAACUGCCUGAAGAACAAAUAUAUUUGUUUUGAAAGAAGUACAGCCAGAAUGUUCCUUAGAAGCAAGGGCGGUGAGACUUCACCUCAGGUAUUUUGGAUAUGUUAUUAGGAGGGGCCAGUCUCUGGAGAAGGAUAUCAUGAUUGGUAAAGUAGAGGGUCAGUGAAAGAGGAAGAUCCUCAAUGUGAUGGAUAGACACAGUGGCUGCAACAAUGAGCUCAAACAUAGCAAUGAUUAUGAGGAUGGUGCAGGACCCACCAGUGUUUUGUUCUGUUGUCCAUAGGGUCACUACAAGUCAGAAACAACUGAAUGGCACCUAACAACAACAACAUAGAAACUAACUACAGUAUCAAAACUUUCCAAAACAGGAGAAGUGACCCAAUUAGAAGAGGUAAAAAUGAGUGAUAGAAACAGUAGCCAUCAAUGAUAUGGAAAAGUUAAUUACACUUCCUUACACUAAUUCUCAUAAAUAUGCCUGUGUGUUCAUUAGAAGACUAGGAAAUUUAUUUGAUAUUAAAGUUUCUCAACUGGAUCAGAAUGAUACAUGAAGUAAAAAUGUUUGUUGUUCUGUGAUAACACUGAGGUUAAUUUCACAGAAAUGCAGAGAUUAAAAUUGAAAAGCCAGGUAAGUUUACAUGAAUAUAUACACAGAUAGAUAAUAUAGAUAAUGUCUGUGAAAGAUAAAAUUCUAGGAUCUCUGUGGCAUUAAAGAUCAAUAAGCUCUAUGAAUUAAUCUCAAAUAGAAAAGUUAACAUCAAUGUCUACCUUCCUUAGAACUAAGAACAAAGGGGAAUAUUUGCCAGAGUUGACCCUAGAAUGAAAUGCAAACACAGAUAUGUUUAUUAAAGGGUGCAAUCACAUAAGAAGAUCUUAAAAAUAGCUUUAAUAUCCAAGCAUAAAUAAGAACAAUUUGCAAACCGUUAUUUCCUGUUGCGAACAUUAACUGUCAAGUUUCAACCUUGACAUUGGUAUGUAUUAUGGCAAUUGAAAACUCAAAAUAUCAGCAGAUAUGGCUGAAGAGGUCUAACUUUUGUUCUAUUGAGAGCCCAGGUCACAAGAUAUUUUCCUAGAAUCCCUCCCAUAAAGAUGUUCCAGCAUGUUUAAUAAGCAGGUAUACAAUGAUAAAGUGACAUAUAUAGUUGGUUCACUGAAACUUAACUUGUCUAAAACAAGCUCCUGACUUCCUCAACCUACUUUUCCUAAAGUUGUCCCCAUCUCAGUCAUUGGGGAUACCAUCUUUCUAGUUGCUAGGUCAGAGUCAUUCUUGACAAUUUUCUCAGCAUACCAUCUCAGGUCUCGUUCAAAAUGCCUUCAGAAUCCAUCAUGUCUCUCCAUCUUGCUUGCCACCACCAUGGCCCAAACCACCACACUGUCUCACCUGCAUUAUGGUAGCGGUACCCUCACUGGUCUCCUUACUUCUGCCCUUUCCCCCUUCUGCCAAUGCUUAAACACUGCAGCAAAAGUGAUUCUGCUAAAAAAAAAAAUAAGGCUGAUCAUGUUUCUGUACUGCUUGAACUUCGGACUGGCUUCCCAUUCCACUUAGAACAAAAGCAAAAGUUCUUGCAAUGGCCUGUUAAUAUCCUGCAUGAUCUGGUUCCCUGUGUGCUUCUUUGACCUGUCUCCUUCAUACUACAUGCUACAUACUUCUACGUAUUCACUGGAUCCUGCUACCCUGGCCUCCUUACUGUUCUUCCACGAAGCCAGGCAUGUCCACGUUUCUUUCCAUUUGCUGUUCCCUCUCCUUGGAGAAGGACAUCAAGCUUGGUAGAGGAGAGGGUCAGUGAAAAAGAGGAAAACACUCUAGGAGAUGGACUGACACAGUGGCUGCCACAAUGGGCUCAAGUGUAACAAUGAUUGGGAGGAUGGUGCAGGACGGGCAGUGUUUCGUUCUGUUGUGCAUGGAGUUGCUAUGAGUCAGAACAAACUCAAUGGCACCUAACAACAAUAUAACAUAACUGCUUGGAAAGCCCUUCCAUAUUGUUUGCAUGGCUCAUUCUCUUAUAGCCUUUGAAUCAUUAAUCAUAUGUCAUCUUCUUAGUGAUAACUUUCUCUGGCUAUCUUUUUCAAAACUGCAAACCCUCUGUCCCAUCACUCCCUACCCCCAUUCCUUACUUUUCUUUCUCCAUAGCACUUCUGACCAUUUAUCUGAGAAUCCAAAAAAAACCCAGUGCCAUCAAGUCGAUUCAUACAUUUCUCUUAUUCUGUUUGUCUGUUUACUGUCUGUUUCCCUGAACUGAACUAUAAGGUCAUUGAGACCAUAGUUUUUUUCUUCUUUUGCUUUGUGUUUUAUUUCCACUCUCAAGAACAAAGCUUUACACAUAGUAGGCACUCCACAAAUAUUGUUGAAUGUUGAAUGAAGAAACUAUAAUUCCAUUUUAACUAUAAUAAACAACAACAAAAGAGUUGCCAUCAAGUCAAUUCUAACUCAAGGCACCAUGUGCCUAUUUAAAAAAUAACAUACUAUUAAGCAUUAAAAAUAAUAGCUUUUAGUUCCUCUUUAAAAAAAAAAAGUUAAAUCUCCAACACUAAAAGGUGAUAUAAAUAAAUUGAUUAAUCAGCUAAUGAGAAUUGACUGGGUUCCCUAUGAUCAGUUUUUUUCAGGGUGCUGAGACAGAUGCAAGGGCUUUCUGUAUUCAAAGUUCUUAUAGUUUAAGAAAGAAAACAGUGUUCCUUAAGACAUAAUUGGAGAACGAUAAAUAACAACAUAUUAACCAAAUUUAAGUCCAAAAGUCAUUAGAUGUUGUGGUAUUUAGGAGAUAUGGUUCUAAUAAUGUUGCUGCCAUUAGCUGUGCGAAACUAAGGAAACAGUUAACUCACAUCAGCCUUCAACAUAUUUAUUAUGCAAAUAAGGAGAAUGUACUAGACGGUGUAUUGGUUCACUGGCAUUCUACUAAUUUGGAGACAAGAGCACUCAGUAGAGAUAUAUAUGUGGCAGAGACAUGUUAGCUGUUAGCACUUUUCCUCCUGGCUCUUAGCUAGGUUAGAUUUCUCAGCCUCCUUGAAAGCCACACUGAGAAAGUGCUAAAAAUCCUGAUUGAAAAUAGGUCUACAUCAAUUUCCCACUGAUCUCCACUGAACUUUACCAAGUAAGAUAUAUAUUACUAUAUUUAAUUAUUAAUAUCUUAAGGCAUUUUCUAAAACCAAAAUUUAAAUGUAAUUGAAACUAGAAAUAUUUUUAGGUAAUUAGUCAUAUUCUUACGCUAUCUUGUAACAGCUCAUUGCCCUCUGGUGUUAUCUGUCUAUUUCAUAUGAGUCAAUUCCAACUCAUAGUGCCCAUACAGUACAGAGUAGAACUGCCCCAUAUGGUUUCCAAGGAGUGCCUGGUGGAUUUGAACUGCUGACUUUUUGGUUAGCAGCUGUAACACUUACCCACUAACCCACCAGGGUUUCCAUGUGUGAUAGGUUUUGGUUUUUCCAAAGAGACCACGAGUCCCACUAGGUCAGCAGUCACGACUUAAAUCCUUCUGUGUUCCUUCCUUUGCUGCAUACAGUGUUUGAUACAUGGAUGCUAUGGAAAUGGAUGUGUUCUAGACCUUCAUAGAGAAUGCCUGUUUAACCUCAUUAUAGGAAAUAGGUGUCACACCACUGCUGUACAAUACUAAUUAGAUCCUGGGUAGAGCCUUCAAUGUUACGUUUUCAACCCGAUAUGGAAAACUUGCUUUGAACGGUACUAUGAUAGGCCAAAAGGAGUCCUGGUGAGUCAAUGGUCUAUCUUUGCAGCAUAGACAAUAUUGAAGUCUCUAUGCACUAAAAAAAUUUCUAAAAGUUACAGUGUUAAGAAGCCUGUUUUAUGCUCGUUACUGGGAAAAUGAAUAGGGUAUCCUGUGGGGGUUCACCAGACCACUGAAGUACCUGGAAGGAAGUGCUACCCUUUCCUGACAUGGCUACAGAGAGCUGCGCAUGGGAAGUGUCUGUCCAAAUGGAAACCUUAAUUUGGGUUUACAGAUGAGGAUACAAAGUUUCUUACCACCUAUGCUCACAUACAUCCAUACUGAUGGUGUGGCUGAGGGUGUUCCAUGUGGAAGCAAGUCACAGAGAAGAAAAAGGAAUCAACCAUCACUGCUGCAGCACUUUGGUUAACAUCUCCUAAGCAUGCUUGCAAUAAAACCGCUUCCCUCUGACUAGAAUAAUACAUACCUGAAUUCUAUAAUCUCUUCUUAUCACUUACUCCCCCAUGGAUCAAAACAUUCUUUCUAGAAUAUAUGAACAUGAACCCCCGGGGCAAAACAUACUUUCACCUUCAUGUAGCUAUUUUAUAAAUCAAGAUGACGAUCUAGUGUCUCUGGGUCUCCAGCCCUGACACCAUCCACUCCCAUUCAACAAGCUGGAGAGGGACUGGAGGAGACAACCAAAUUUCUGAGCUAUUAUUUUGUGAACACAAGUUACCUGUACAGAUUCUUUUAAAGUUGGGAUUUUCCAGAAGGUGUCCUGGUAGGCGGCACUGGAACCGAUGUUGCCAGAAUUCAGGGAACCAUGGAUUCCUUGUAUUAGUGUCCAGCCUCAGUUUCAGGAAAUAAUCAUCAAAUGACCUGACCUCUGGAGACUGCAGCUUUAUGGUGAUUCCCCCGUUGGCUUCCACCUCAUAACCUUCAAUGACUUCAUCUCUGUCUGCCCAUCCAUCACUAAAAAAUGCAGGGAUCGGGGUAGGAAGAGAGAAAGACAAACGUCUCACAAAUAGAGCUCACAAUUAUGUAUGAACGAAGCAGUUCAAUACAGCCUAAAGUCUACGUUAAGCCGGUAUUACUAUCCAUCGAGAUUUUUGAUAGAGUAGAAAGUUGUGAAACCAAAAUGCCCUGGGUUUUAUUUUAUGUUUGUUUUCCUGUUUAUUUAAUUUUCACAAUAAUGAAAGUGAUGAUGAAGAUGAUGAUGAUGCUGACAGUAGCAAUUACAACUAACAUUUAUUGAGCACUUACUAGUCAUCAGAUUCUCUGCUAAACACUUUGCAUUCAUUGUCUUAUUUAAUCCUUACACUAACCUUAUGAGGCAUACUAAUAUAAUUUCCUUUUUACACAUACCUAGGAACAGGGAGGUUAAUUAAUUUGUCCUGGGCAUAAAACUAGUGAGUGGAUGCCUACUUGCUUCCAAAGCACUUAAGCACUACGCCUACUACUUAUUUAAUAUCCAAAAAUGUUGCCAAAGGCCCCUGUCUUCGGAUGAUUCCCUGGAAAAUAGACUUUGAGAUGGAUGAUAUGCGUGCAAGUAGUUUAUUGGGGAGAUCUCUUGGGAACGACUCCUGUGAGGGAGGAGGGUGAGACACGGAUUGGAUAGAUGGAGAAACCAAAAUGUGCUGCAGUUGCAACAGAGGCUUCAACUCAUCCUAAGAAAAGCUCUGGAGCUGGGAUGGUCCUUCAGAGUUCUCCCAAAUUUGAGACAGGAGUCAGGUCUUGUAUCCUCCCUUCAGCCAGUCAUUGAACGUGAGCUAUCCCGGGGACAGCUUUUUUGAGGUAUAACCUCAAAAGAGGCAAGCUCCCUUGGACUGAAAGAACUCCUAGUGACAGACCCUGCUGAAAGCUGACAAAUGCCAACAAUCCAGACAGCUGGGAGGAAUGAGUGUUAUCUGAGGGGAGAUCUCGGGGGUGGGGUCCACCACUGCAUCUGCUACACCCAUCUCAGUAGUUGGAUAGACCGCUGAACUGCUGAGAUGAUGUGUAUAAGUGAAACUAGUCAAACAGUGUUGUCCUUUUUCCUCCUUUUUACACAGACAGAUUGGAAACACAAUGGGAGCUAGCAACUGCAAUUGGUAUUAGGCAAGGAGAACUCAGGGAUGCACUUGACCAAAGAAAACAUCAUUGUCAGUAAAAUAGUUUUAGGUUGUUUAAGUUCAGGAAGAAUUAUUAAUUUCAGAAUUAAAUCAUUUAUCAUGGCAAUGAAAUAAAGAGUUUGACUAGUAUAUUGUUGGUAGUACUCUGUCUUCAUUCAAAAGCAGCUACAGCAGUGCAUCAACAGGGAACCGCCAGAAAUUCAAGCCAGAUUCAGCAGAGGAUGUAGAAUGAGGGAUGUGAUUGCUGAUGUCAGAUGGAUCCUGGCUGAAAGUAGAGAAUACAAGAAAGAUGUUUACUUGUGUUUUAUUGAGUAUGCAAAGGCAUUUGACUGUGCAGAUCAUAACAAAUUAUGAAUAACAUUGCGAAGAAUGGAAAUUCCCGAACAUUUCAUUGUGCUCAUGAGGGACCUGUACAUGGAUCAAGAGGCAGUCAUUCGAACAGAACAAGGGGAUACUGCAUCGUUUAAAGUCAGGAAAGGUAUGCGUCAGGGGUGUAUUCUUUCACUAUAUGUAUUCAAUCUGUAUACUGAGCAAAUAAUCCAAGAAGCUGGCCUAUGUGAAGAAGAACAGGGCAUCAGGAUUGGAGAAAGACUCAUUAACAACUUGCAUUAUGCAGGUGACACAACCUUGCUUGCUGAAAGUGAAGGGGACUUGAAGCACUUACUGAUGAAGAUCAAAGACCACAGCCUUCAGUACAGAUUACACCUGAACAUAGGAAACAAUGUAAAGAAAACAAAAAUCCUCACAACUGGACUAAUAAGCAACAUCAUGAUAAAUGGAGAAAACACUGAUGUAGUCAAGGACUUCAUUUUAUUGGAUGCACAAUCAACAGCCAUCCAAGCAGCAGCCAAGAAAUCAAAAGAUGCAUUGCAUUGGGCAAAUCUGCUGCAAAAGACCUCCUUAAAGUGUUAAAAGGCAAAGAUGUCACUUUGAACACAAAGGUGCACCUGACCCAAGUUAUGGCGUUUUCAAUCACCUCAUAUGCAUGUGAAAGCUGGAAAAUGAAUAAGGAAGAUGGAAGAAGAAUUGAUGCCUUUGAAUUAUGGUGUUGGCAAAGAAUACAGAAGAUACGAUGGGCUGCCAGAAGAGUGAACAAAUCUGUCUUAGAAGAAGUACAGCCAAAAUGCUCCGUAGAAACAAGGAUGAGAAGACUUCAUCUCUCAUACUUUGGACAUGUUAUCAGGAGGGACCAGUCCCUGGAAAAGGACAUCAUGCUUGGUAAAGUAGAGGAUCAGUAAAAAAGAGAAAGACCCUUGAUGAGAUGGACUGACACAGUGGCUUCAACAAUUGGCUUAGACAUAGCAACAGUUUAAGGAUGGUGCAGAACAGGGCAAUGUUUCGUUCUGUCAUACAAAAGGUUGUUAUGAGUCAGAACCAACUUGACGGCACCUAACAGUAAAAGCAACACAAGUACUCAAUAAAUAUUUGUGGAAAGAAUGAAUAUAAAUCAGUAAUUUAAUCAGAAUAGCUAUCAUUUACUGAGGGUUUACUAUGUGUUUUCUAUUUAAACCUCAUAACAGUACUAUUUUUAUUUCAAUCUUACAAAUGAGGAAACUGAGAUGGGAGAUAUUCAACAACUAGCUGAGGUCCUGGUGGGCCCAGAAUGUGGAUCCAGCAGUCUGGCUCCCAAGCCCAGUGCUCUUUACUGUAAAAAACAAUGCCUAUUGGUCACUGCCCAGACCAGAAAGAAAUAAAACCCAGGCACUCAGGGUCUUCACAAUAAAAGUGCUGCAGUCAAGAUGAGUAUAUGAGCUGCAAUAUAUGGAGUAGAAAAUUGAUUUUACUCAGAAACAUGCCAACCACAGUUGUUUCCUGAGACAUUGUUCAAACAUGUCUCCCUUAGAAGCAACUCAAUGUGUUUCCCCGCAAUGAUAUUUCAAAAUAACAGCAUUAAAGGAAAAUAAUCUCACGGCCGCCACAUAUAAAACAAUUUUUAAAAAGAAUCCUGCUCACUAAAUAGGAGUUCACUGACAUUUUAUUCUGUGAGUUAGAGUUUUUAAAAGUUGGUCACCCAGAAUACUUCACAUCUGUCAUGAGUGUUAUAGAUUCCUAUACAUGGGCCAGGCCAAGAUUUGUGUGAGUGGUUGUGAUCCCUUCCCAAAAGCGGUUGGGAGAGUUAUGUCCUAUGGUUUUUGGAACAUCUCCAUGCAGGCUCUGCCAGAGAAGGGUUUUUAUCACUUGCUUCUCACAGAAUAGGGAGCUCAGCCAAAUACACGUGACUGACCAGAGCUUACCCAUUAUUACCUGAAAUCAAUUGGGAUAAAUGUGUUCUACCCUUAGCUGAGUUAAUUGGUACAAUUUCUCUCCAGAAUCUUUCCAAUGAACUGCACACAAGCUGCAUUUUUAACAAGCCAAUGUCUGCAGAAAGAAUAGAUCACUUAACAUGACCCAGAGCUAAAAGGGCCUUGAGGUAUGGUGGAGUCUAACCAGUCAGAUCAGAGGAAUGUCUACACACCUUCUAAAUUCUCUAGAAGAUGCCACCUCCUUGUACAGAAGACUUUCCUUCCUCUCUCCCUCUUUUCCGCUCUCUCUCCCUCCCUCUUUUCCUUCCUUACAUCCUUCCUUCCACAAGCAUUCACUGACUGCCCACUGUAUGUGAGAUAUCCUGCUAUGCUCAGGACUCAACACCGGUAUCCAUGAUGUUACAGGCUUGCGGAGAAAACCCACACUAAACAAGACUUACAAAUGUGAUGAAGGUAAAGAAGAAGUGAUCAGUACUAUGGGGGGCGAGGAGGGGUUGGGGCUUAACUUAGCCUUGUGUGUAUUUAUGCACAGGGAUGGAAUAAGGGUUGGUCAGGGAUGGCUUUCCUAAGAAAGUGAUGUCUGAGUUGAAUCAUAGGAUAACUGGACAUCAGCCAGGUGAAGAGAAGAAAAGGGGUUGGUACAGAAAGAUCCUGCUGGAUGAUCUAACAUUCAAGGUAUUAGAGAAAGUCAGUAUGACUGGUGCACUGAGAGAGGCGUGGCAUAAACCCAGCCUAGAAAAUGUUAGCCUAAGGACUACAGAAGUCCUCAAAGUGCGAUCAGCCUUACCACUCCAUAAGGUCAUUCAGCUCUGCUCCCUUAUGGUAAAUGACGUGAGCAUUGCCCUGACGAGUCCUUCUCUGCUCGCCAUAAUUGAAUAUGAUGGCCAGUCAAAUGGAUUAAAGAAAAAUAACUGACUUAUUCAUCUUUCUAUACUCUUGGCUACUUAGGAUAGCUCGAAGCAGUUUAAUUAUUUACAUUUAUAUUUAUUUAUAUUUAUAUCUUAACUAUAUCCACAGCAAUUUUUAAGCACUGAGCUACAGUUUAUGACAUGCUAAAAAGAAGGGUAAAAACCUGACCAGUUAGAUUUUUGGGAAAUUCUGAUUAUGAGUAAAUAUUUAAAGUCAAAAUGGCUUAUAACUUAAAGAAUAGAAUUUUUUUUUUUUUUACAUCAACUUCAGGCUUGUUUUUCUCCCUAUUUUAAUAUUAUAUGAGAUUUUUUUGUAGUCUGUACAAGAAACUUAACAAUUUUUUUUAAAAAGUGUAUGACACACAUCUUCUGUAAUGUAUAUUUGCAUUUCUUUCAUUGAAUCAUAUUCAUUUUUGUGUUAUGAAUUGAAUUGUGUCUCCCAGAAAGAUAUGCUGCUGAAGCCUUAAUCCCUGUAUCAAUGAACAUGACCUUGUUUGGAAAUAGGAUUUUUCUUUCAUUAUCAGGUAUCAGUUACGUUGAAUGAGGUCAUACCAGAGUAGGAUGGGUCACAUACAGGGAUAAGAUACCAUGUAAGGAUCCAUCUAUAACCCAAGAAACACCCAGGCCUAUGAGCAAUUUAAAGAGACAAAGAAGGAUCUUCCCCUAGAGAAGAUAGAGUAUUGCCCUGCUAAUGCCCUGAAUUCAAACUUCUAGCCUCCAGAACUGUGAGACAAUAAAUUCCUGAUUUUGAAAGCCACCUCAUUUGUGGUAUUUUGUUAUGGCAGCCCUAGGAAACUAAACCAACCAACCAACCAACCCCGUUGUUGUUGAGCUGAUCCCAACUUAUAGCGACCCUAUAGGACAGAGUAGAACUGUCCCGUAGGAUUUUCAAGGAACAGCUGGUGGAUUUAAACUGCCAACCUUUUGGUUAGCAGCUGAAUGCUUAAGAAACUUUGUAAAAGUAAAUAUCAUGUGUCAGUGCUAGAAGCAGAGAAAUGUGUGACGUCCUGCCUGGUGCCCACCACCAUAGAAGGGGCAUAUCGUAGGAGCAAACCUCUGACUAUGAAUAUACAUCAAGUUGAAGUCACAUUGUUUAGUGCCUUCAACAAAGCCUUCACUGAACAAAGCCUUCACUUACACUGUGGAUGAUUUCCCUUCCAGAAGUUAGAGUUGCCAUUAAAUUCAAGAGAUCAUAAAAUCAAGCAGAACCAAACAUGAUAGAAAAAGUAUUCAACUAAGAUUAACCAGUUGUUGUUGAGUUGGCUCUGACUUUUCGCAGCCCCAUGUGUGUCAGAGUAGAACUGGCCUUUACAGCAUAGUCACUGAUUUUUCAGUAUUAGAUCACCAGGCCUCUGGGUGGACACAGACUGUCAAUCUUUUAGUUAGCAGCUGAUCAUGUUAAGGCUUUCACCACUCAGUGACUCUCGACUAAGAUUAAAAAAAAUUACUUGGUGAAUAUUUUUGAGUGGUAAUUGCCAAUUUUUUUUUUUAUGAGCUUUUAAAUCUUUAAUAGUUAAGAAAUUAGGAAAUGCUAACAAAUAGUCACCGAAAAACAUCUAUAAAGCAACUCUUGACUUUUAUCUUUUUAAAUUGUUUCAUCUAUGUACCACUUGUGAAAUUCCUUUACAGAUAAUUCUAAAGUGUUACCGAACCCAGAAAUGUGGGUCCUUGUCUGGUGCUCUCAGACCCACCAAUAAUCUGGACACCGGUCUUUGAGAAAGAGGAAAUAAUUUAUUGCAAUGCGCAAAGCAAGGAGCUGGGAGAAAGUUCCUCAGAUCCGACUCCCCAAGCUAUGGGAAAGCAGGGUUUAUAUGUGAUUUGGGAAGCAAGAUGGCAGCCGUUCAGGCAUACUAGGGUGGGAAAAUUCUAGAACGGGGCUAGGAAACAGGAGGUGACAUAGUUCUUGUCAGGCCUCUCACUUCAGAAUAGGGUCCCGGUGAUGAUUUUCCUUUUGAUUUGUUUUUACCUGUUGCUGCGUCCUCUGUUGAGGUUAAUUAACAGUUGCAGCUGGCCUUUCUACACAUGUGGGGCAGGCCAAAUCUGGCUUGGGCUAGUUUAAGGACUAGGCUAGGGUCACAUUACAAAAGGACUUUCACUGUUUAGUUGCAUUGAGAUUUUGUAUGAGGAUAUUGUUUUGGUGGGUACUGUAUGAAGUACACUUUGAAACAGAGAGCCAGCAUCUGUUCUUAGAAAUAUUUGAUGAUCCAGUUUUUUUUCUUUUGUUGUAGUUGGUGAUGGUGGUGAUGUGGACUGAGUUAGCUUGACCAGAGAUAACCUGCAAGUAUCUGUUCACCCACUCUAGUGUGUGGAGUGAAUUCUGCUGUCCUGGGAGGUGACUGGGCCUAGGGCAAUCCUUCAAGUCCCUAUGAGGCACAUUUGCUGCUUCUAGCAACUUCUGCUGCACCAUCUGUUCCCCAGUUAAUGACUUCCUUUUCCUAUCUGGGGUCUGGAAAGGAAACUGUGUAUUGUGGAGGAACAGGGUGAACGUUUAACAGAAAGUUACAUGUCUUAAGUAUUCCUCACUAAUAUAUAGAAUCCUUAUUACCUGUCUCACCUGAAUAUUUUAAUACAGAAAGUCCUUCACAAGGCUGUUCUUCUCUUGCCACAAAAUCAUUGGCUUAUUCCCUGGGUAAUUCUAAACUUGAAUAGUUACAAGGUUUCUUCUACCUAAUAAAUUCCUCUAUUAACAGCAGGAAAAUAUAAUUUCUAAUUCUGCCAAUUAUAAUUUCACAGGAGCUGCACAAACAUUAUAUUUGCAAUAUAUCAAUUAAAAUAAUUCAAUAAGCAAAUUAGUAAUAAAAAACAGAAAUGCUAUAGUAUUACCUUCAAUAACUACUCAAAAACAUUUUAGAAAAGCCUAUUUACAGUCAAUUAAAAUAAUUACAAUCUAGGUAGUAAAGCAGGUUUUUUUUGUGUGUGUUAUGAGCUCAAGUAAUUGUGUGUACCUGAUAAUAAAAUUAUAAUUAUUCAAAAAUAUUUCAGAGCUUACCAUAUAAUUGGGGAAAUAAGGAAAGCACAAUAAAAGCAAUAUCUUCAAAAACACACAUAAAUGAACACAAAAUUCUACAAUAUUAAUCACAUUCAAAAAGACUGAAGAAAUGCAGCAUAAUUUAAUUUAAAUCAGGCACUGUCAGUUGAAGGAAAUUUCAUGAAAUUAAUGACAGCUUUUUGAAUAAUAAUUCAAACUGGUUUUGUUCAUUCAGCAUGGACUGACCAAGCAUCUUGUAUGUGUCAGGCAUUUUGCUUACUUCUGGGCGGGCAAUGCUAACAAGUACUGGCAAGCCCUCUGCAUCAAGGUACUUUCAGUGGUAGGGAAGGCUGGCCACUGAACACAACAGCAACAUAGAGGUACAUGAACUGAAAAGGAAAGAAAGGCCAUGGAAGCACAGAGAAAGGGGGCAACGGCUGUGUCAAGUGGGACUUCCCUGAGGAAGUGAAGUAUGAGUCUUAAAAGAUGAGUUGAAGUUACACAGGUAAAGAGGGAGACGGGAGACAGAGACAGCUAAAGAGAGGACAAAGCAUUCAAGCAACAGCAAAGCAUUUGUCUUCCUUAGAGUGCACGUAGUGAGGAGGGAUAAGAUAAACAGGCACAAGAUCUAGGAGAGCCUUAACAUCCUCCUUAAGGGGUUUGGGCUUUAUUUGUACUUCGGUGAAAAGUCACUGAGAAGUCCCGGAUGGUACAACCAGUUAGGCGCUCAGCUAACUGAAAGGUUGGUGGUUCAAACUCACCCAGAGGUGCCUUGGAAGACGGGCCUGGCGAUCUGCUUCCCAAAGGUCACAGCCUUGAAAACCUUAUGGAACUGUUCUCUGCACACAUGGGGUCACCAUGAGUCAGAAUCAACUCAACAGCAGUUAACAACAGGUUACUCAGAUUUUAAACAAGGGCAUGGCAUGGAGAGAUUUAUUUUAGAAAGAUCAUUUUAGAAACUACUCAGAAUGUAGGUAUUUUGUGAAGGUCCUUUGGUGUAUAUUAACCAUUGGUGUCACCCAAAGACUCCAUAUACUGAUUCUAGAAUUGUCAGACAAAAACUGUGGAAACACAUGUACACAUACAGGGUAAUUACACUGUAAUAUGAAGAUAGAGUGGAAGUGUUGAUGAACCAGGAAUCAGGGUAGUGGCCACAAUUACUUUCUAUUUGAUAUUAAAAUUAAGUUGCUGCUAAUCCACCAUGAAUGUAGAACUAACACAAAAUACAGGUUUUUAUUUAAACGUACAGAACAGAACGUAGGUCAUCCAGCCCACUGAGAACCAGGAGAGAGGAGGAGGACAGACCUUCACCUUUUAUUGUUCUGCAUUGCUAGAAUUAGAAUUCAAACUUAAGCCUCACUUCUAGCCGAGUGGCAGUUCAGUAGGAAACUUACCGAGGUGGAAGAGGGAAUGGGGAGGAGUCAAAAGGCAAAGAAGGGUCAGGGGAAUUGUCAAAAUGUUGAACCACCAUGUAAAGAAGACCAAGGUCAGAUCAGCCACCCUUAUUUUCCCAUUUACUCCUUUUUCCCAAAACCCACCUCUGCCACCCUGAGCCUGGCAUCAUCUGCCACCUGGAGAUACAUUACUGUCCUCUUCUCCUAGCAGAAAUGUAGGCAAAGGUGUCUACUGGUAAUGGCUGCACGACCUUGCAAAUGUGGAGACAACAAUUCAUGUAUCCAUGACAAUUUCAAGGCUGGUAUGAAAGAAAGGUAUGUCAAUGAGAGAAAUUACUUGUGGACAAGCAGGUCUUUUAUUCUCUUCAAUAUCCCACUACCAAGGUUAUUGUUAGUUGUCAUUGAGUCAGCUUCAACUCAGGGCAACCCCAUGUACAACAGAACAAAGCUUUGCCUACUCCUGUGCCAUCUUCACUAUUGUUGGAAUGCUUGAGUUCAUUGUUGCAGCCAUUGUGUAUUUUGAGUGCCUUCCAACCUAGGGGACUCAUCUUCCGGCACUAUUUAGGACAAUAUUCUGUUGUGAUCCAUUGGGUUUUCAUUGGCUCACUCUGGGAAGUAGAUCACCAGGCCUUUCUUCCUAGUUUGUCUUAAUGUGGAAGCUCCACUGAAACCUGCCUACAUGAGAUGACACUGCUGGCAUUUUAAAUUCCAGUGGCAGAACUUCUAGCAUUAUAGCAACACACAAGCCACCAUGGUACAACAAACUUACAGGUGGUAGACUACCAAGGUAGCACCCCGUUUUGUCUAUCACUCAACUAAUCCUGAGAGACAGUACAAAAUAUGAAUUCAAUUGUUACUUAACCUCUCUAAGUCUCUUUCUUUAUCUAUAAAGCAAGAAUGGAAAUGGCACCAACUUCACAGGGCUGUGUGAGAAUUAAAUGAGAUAAACUGCUUAGAACAAUAUCUAGCACAUGAUGCAGUCUCAGUAUAUAUUAGCAGUUUUGAUCAUCGAUCUCAUCAUGAUCCAGCCAGUGUUCUGAGCUAUCUCUACAUAUAAGAAAGACCUCUGUGGAAAAGUGCUACCAUAAUAUGGCCCAAUGAUUGGUACCCGUUCAUGAACUGUUUGUUACUAGCCCACCAAACUUAAUUUUAAUAUCAAAUGUAAGCAUUUAAAAGCAUUUGUAGCAGUUUGACAUUGCUACAACUACGCGCACGAUGGAUCAUCUCACUGAACAGGAUGUAUAAACUAGUUUGCGUGUUUUCAGAUUCACAUGGUGAGCUGCCUGUGCCUCAAGCUACAUGCAGUCCAUAUGCAGUAGAAACGUGUUGUAAUAUACAACAUUUUAAGGAAUGUUAGGGUCACUAUGAGUCAAAAUAGACUUGACAGCAAGGGUUGUUUUUUUUUUUUUCCUUGGUUUUUGUCAACUGUGACACAAAAGUAUGUAAAUAUCUGAGAAUAUAUGAGCACUUAUCUUUAUAAAUUUGUGUUUACAAUCUCUUUAAGUUUUGAUCAAGCCUAUUUUAUAAUUUAUUAAGAUUACUUUCUAAAUUAGGAAAAUAAAAUUUCUAUUAUUUAUUUUAACCCUAAUAGCAUUUUUACUGAACUAAUUUUGACAAGAUGCAAUUUUUUGAAUGUGCCGAUAGUAGUUAUCAAAUAUGUACAAUGGAAAUGAUUCCAAAGAAACGAGGGCAAAAGAAAGUCCUAUGAAUUCUACUUAAAAUUAUGAUCACUCAUAUGUUGAAUUUAUCCCUAACUGAUGGUGAAGUGCUAAAACCAUACUGUAUAAUUUGCAGAGGUGUUUUAGCUAAUGAAUUAGUAAAAUUAUCAAAGCUUAUGUAUCAUUUACACACAAACCAUAAGGGAUUAAAUUCAGAAUGAAAAUAACUUUUUUUAAAUUAUAUAUUACUGCAUUUAUGGUGAAAAUAUACACAGCAAAACACCCCUAUUCAACAAUUUCUACCAUAAUGUUCAGUGACAGUGGUUACAUUCUUCACAUUGCGUCAACAUUCUCAUUAUUUCUGUUCCAGUCGUUUCACUACCAUUAACUCAGUCUCACUGUCCCCCAAACUUCUUAUUUAUGCUUUGUAGUAACUGUUGUCCCUUUGGUCUCAUACAGUUGAUUGUUCUAAGGGGCAUCUUGUUCAGGGGUGUUAUUGUUUAUUUUAUAGGCCUGUCUAUUGUUUGGUUUGAAAGGUGAUCUCCAGGAGUGGUUUUAGUCCCACGUUAGAAGGGUGUCUAGGGCUAUAGCCUCGGUUGUUCUUCCGAUCUCUAUUCGGCCAGUAAGUCUGGUCUUUUUUAUAAAUUUGGAUUUUGUUCUACAUUUUUCUCCUAUUCUAACCAGGAACUUCUAUUGCAUUCCUGGUCAGAGUGGUCAGCAGUGGUAGCCAGGCACCACCUAUUUCCUCUGGUUUCAGUUUAGUGGAAGCCGUGGUUCAUGUGAACCAUUAGUCCUUUGGACUAAUUGCUUCCUUGAGUCUUUCAUUUUCUUUACUGUCCUUUGCUCCAGAUGAGAAGAGACCAAUAGCUGUACCCUAGAUGUUUGCUCACAUAGGUUCCAUAGUUUCCUAAGACCCUAGAUGCUACUCACUACAGUAGAAUACAGAAAUUAUCUCUAUGAACUAUAUUAUGCCAAUUGACCUAGAUGUCCCUGAAGACUAUGGUCCUUAGCCUUUAAUUCCAGUGUAGCUGUACAGUAUGUUUUGAAACAGGAAGUGUGAGGCUUCCUACAUUGUUCUUCUUCAAAAUCACCUUGGCUAUUUGGGGCCCAAAAUAACUUUUGAAAGAAAAAGCAUUUAGUUGAAAAACAGGUGUUCAAUAUUUUACAUAUGAACAUUAGUGUUUCAUGGAUCUAUAUGAAGUAGCACUUUGGGUUGCUAAGGCUAAAACACAAACAACUGCCAAGACAUUAAUCGAUGACUGAACCAAAAAACCAAACCCAUUGCUGUUGAGUCGAUUUCAACUCACAGCAACCCUAUAGGACAGAGCAGAUUUGCCCCAUAGGGUUUUCAAAGUUGUAAAUUUUUACAGAAGUGGACUGCCACAUCUUUUUCCUGCAGACCUUUUGGUUAGCAGCUGAGCGCUUUAACCAUUGUGCCACCAGAGGUCAUCAGUGAAUGACUACAAAGAUAUUUGCUUGGAAAGGCUCAGUGACUCUGCGAUAAAGAAAGAUGUUCAAGCAUCACUCUAAUGAUACCAUAGCUCUGUAAUUUCUGAAACUGCCUAAUGAUAUGGAAGACCAAUUCAUUAAAAACAGAAAGAUAGAAUCAGUUUUUCAUUGUAAAUUGAGUGUGCAGAAAUUGCUCAUGUGUAUUUCUUUUGGUAUAUGUGCAAUCUGAACAUGCAGAACAUUUAAAGGAGGAAUUGUCUCUGCUUUCAUUUAAAUUAUAUUUUCAGCUUCUUUGCUGACAAACACAACUAGCUCUGAAUUGUAUAAAAUUGUGAAGGAUUAUACUGUCAAUGAAUGUGGUUAGCAGUUUAAGUCUUGUAUUGGGGUAUGUUCUGAUGGUACAGUUGCAAUGACAGGAAGACAUUCUUUUUGUAGUUGCCUAGAUUAAGUGCUGUGUCAGAAUCAAUGCAAUGGUUCCCUCAUUGAGCAAGUCUUGACAAAAAAAAUGUCAGCUGAAUUAAACAAUGCUUAGUGACUUUUUUUUUUUUUUUAAUUAUGUAAGGGCUAAUGUGCUGGAGGUGGUGGCUUGCAUCAGUUCAUGAGAACUGAUUGUUAGCAACAUUUCCAAAUGUUGUGUUCAGUGACUUCACAUUGGUAGGCUGACAUUGCGUGGGUAUAUUUACCUCAAGGAAACAGCCAAUGCUACAAAUCAGGGCUUCUUUGUUUGCCUUACCCAAGAACUAGUUGUGAUCAUUAACAGCUAUGGUCAGUAUUGAUUCUUCUUAAUUUCUUAGUGCUGCUAUAACAGGAAUACUACAAGUGUGCAGCUUAAAGGAACAGAAACUUAUCUUCUCACAGUUAGGAGACUAGAAGUCCAAAUGCAGAGUGCCAGCUCUAGGAGAAGGCUCAUUCUGUCUGCUCUGGGAGAAAACCCUUGUCUUAGUUUCUCUAGUAUUUUUCUUGGUAUUUGUUGGAGAACUUCACCUGGCAUCUAUUUAUCCCCCAUUCUUGCUUACUUUCUUCUGUUCCUAAUCUGCUCUUUUUAUAUUUAAAAAGUGAUUGGCUUAAAAUACACUCUACACUGAUAUGGCCUCGUUAGCACAACAAAGAAAACCAUAUUCACAAAGGUGAUUACAUUCACAGGUAUAUUAAAAAAAAAAAAAACCUGUUGCCAUCCAGCUGAUUCCAACUUAUAGCGACCCUAUAGAACAGAGUAGAACUGCCCCAUAAGGUUUCCAAAGAGCAGCUAUUGGAUUCUAGCUGCCGGCCUUUUGCUUAGGAGCCAGAGCUCACCUUAUCUCUUAACCACUGUGGCAACAGGGCUCUUUCAUUUACAAUACAGAUUUUGGGGGAACACAAUUCAAUCCAUAACAUGAGGGGAGAAGUUAUAUCAAGAAUGUUUGAAUUACAGAGCAAAUUCUUAGUGUUUCUUCAGGAAAUGAAACCAAGUUGGUCUCAAUAUUUAAAAAUAUGACUAUAAAAGUCUGACUUGUUCUUUUGACCUAUAUCUUUGGUAGUGUUAAUGAUCUUCAUAAUUACAUGUAAAGAAAUAAUUUAAUAUUUCUUUCCAAUUGUUGUUGUUGUUGGGUGCCACUGCGUCAGUUCCAACUCAUAGCAACCCUAAGUACAACAGAACAAAACACAGCCUAGUUCUGCACCAUCCUCACCAUCAUGCUAUGCUUGAGCCCAUUGUUGCAGCCACUGUGUCAAUCCAUCUUGUUUAGGGUCUUCUUUUUUUUUUUGCUGAUCCUCUACUUUACCAAGUAUAAUGUCCUUCUCCAGGGACUGGUCCCUCCUGAUAACAUCUCCAAAGUACGUGAGAUGAAGUCUUGCCAUCCUUGCUUUUAAGGAGCAUUCUGGCUGUACUUCUUUCAAGACUGAUUUGUUAAUUCUUUUGGCAGUCCAUGGUAUAUUCAAUAUUCUUCACCAACACCACAACUCAAAGGUGUCAAUUCUUCCUCAUUUUUCCUUAUUCAUUGUCCAGCUUCCACAUGCAUAUGAGGCAAUUGAAAACAUCAUGGCUUGGGUCCAGUACACCUUUGUCCUUAAAGUGGUAUCUUUGCUUUUAAACACUUUAAAGAGGUCAUUUGCAGCAAAUUUGCCCAAUGCAAUGCAUCUUUUGAUUUCUUGACUGCUGCUUCCAUGAGUGUUGAUUGUGGACCCAAGUAAAAUGAACUCCUUAACAACUUCAAUCUGUUCUCCAUUUAUCAUGAUGUAGUUUAUUGGUCCAUUUGUGAGGAUUUUUGUUUUCUUUUUGUUGAGGUAUAAUCCAUACUGAAAGCUGUUGUCUUUGAUCUUUAUCUAUAAGUGCUUUAAGCCCUCUUCACUUUAAGCAAGCAAGGCUGUUUCAGCUGCCUAAGGCAUGUUAUUAAAGAGUCUUCCUCCAAUCCUGAUGCCCUGUUCAUCAUAUAAGUCGGGCUUCUCAGAUUAUUUUGUCAGCAUACAGAUUGAAUAAGUAUGGUGAAAGGAUACAACCCUGAUGCACACCUUUCCUGACUUUAAACCACGUAGUAUCCCAUUGCUCUGUUCAAAUGACUGCCUCUUGAUCUAUGUACAGGUUCCUCACGAGCACAAUUAAGUGUUCUGGAAUUCCUGUUCUUUGCAAUGUUAUUCUUAAUUUGUUACAAUCCACAUGGUUGAAUGCCUUUGCAUAGUCAACAAAACACAGGUAAACAUCUUUCUGGUAUUCUCAGCUUUCAGCCAGGAUCUAUCUGACACCAUCCAUGAUAUAUAUCCCUUUUUCUACAUUCUCUUCUGAAUCUGGUUUGAAUUUCUGACAGCUCCCUGUUGAUGUAUUGUUGCAGGUGCUUUUGAACGAUCUUCAGCAAAAUUUUCUUGUGUGUGAUAUUAAUGAUCUUGUUCGAUAAUUUCCUCAUUCAGUGGGAUCAUCUUUCUUAGCAAUAGGAAUAAAUAUGGAUCUCUUCUAGGUUGGCCAGGUAGAUGUCUUCUAAUUUCAUUCUCACUGUGGUCUUCCAUUAUUUAAAAAAUUAAAUAAAUGAAAAUUAUUUAAAAUUGUGUCUCUUCUAUUUCUCUUCAGUUUCCUUUGUCUCCUUAAGUUAUAGCACUAUCUGACAUACCAUAUAAUUACAAUCGAUUCUUUGCAUCCAUGGUUCUAUCAAGUUGCCAUGAACACUGACUGAACUAGUGAAAGCAAACCAGCCUUCUUUCACCUCAGAUGGGAAUACGUGCAUUGGGUGGCUCAAAUUUUUCACUGUUCUGUACAUAGGUAUGUCUACCAAUGACUAAAAAAGUGUCACAAGCAUUGCUUUGGGGCUUAAAAUAAAUUGAAGCAAGUAUAUGAAUUCACAAAUAUGGAGCCCAUGAAUAAUGAGGACCAACUGUAUAUUUUCUUUCUCCUUCCAGUAAAAUGGAAGCUUCACAUAGUCAGAGAUUUUUAUCUUUGUUUACCUAUAUAAUCCCAGAAUUUAGAAUGGUUUUUGGCUUAUACUUGGUGCUACUUAUAUAUUUGCUGAAGUAAUUAAUAAAUCAAUGGAUAAAAGAUGCUAUAGAGUGGUUUGUAUGCAAGAAUUCACUAGAGAGGAUACAACAAUCAGGAGUGUGCUGGAGGUGGCUCAUACCAGCUGGGGAGAGCCCAUUGUUAGGAUCUUUUCCCAGCUUUCAUUCAGUGAUUUCCUGUUGGUAGUUGAAACUGACCAUGCUGCAACACUAUCAUGGGCAAACACUACCAAUCAGGGCUUUGAUGGUUUCUUGUUUCAUGUUUUUGCUUUCAAGAGCUGCUUGUAAAAAAUUUACCAGACUACCACCAUCUAUAAUAUGCUAUGACAUUCUGUCUGAAAUUCAGGAUUAGUGAUGAACUUGUGACCUGUUAGGUGAGCUAAAGGUGAUUUGAAUGAUUAUUGUUUAAUUCUGAAAUGUCUGUAAUAAAAAUUAAAGCUAUACUUUUCUGAAAUUAACAGCUAUUCUUUCCUGAAAGCUAUUGUUUCAGUGUUUAUACAUUUGUCUUACUUUACUUUUUUUUCUCAAGAAGAGAUAAUUGCAUGCUGAGAAGCAUAAAAAAAUUAAAGACCAAAAAAAAAAAAAACUGACCAAAAUCACACUCCUAGCCUAAUAAACAUUAAUUUAAAGCAACAGAUUUAUAGCCUUUACCCACACCUAUUAAAAUUUCAGAACAAUAAUUGCAGCUUUAUGCGUUCGAAUCAUUCAUGUGCAUUUAUGUAUGUUUUAGACUUCUUAUUUUUGAGUUGUAGUUAAAGAUAAAGUGAUGAAUUGUAUCUGGAACUUAGUAAAUCAUUCUAAUAAUAAAAGAAAAUGAACUCAGAGAUUCCAUGUAUCUGUAUGGUAUAUUGUAUUUUACAUUUCAUAUAAUCCAAUGAGAAUAUUGUCAUUUGAGUCACUGAAGAACAAAUCUAAAAUCCUUCUACAUUAGCUGAUUCAAAACUUGUGCAUUCUUUCAUUCGAUAAAUACUGACAUCCUGUUGUUGUUGUUAGGUGCCUUCAAGUCUGUUCCGACUCAUAGCAACCCUAUGUGCAAUAGUAUAAAACACUGCCCUGUCCUGUGCCAUCCUCAAAAUUGUUGUUGUGCUUGAGCCCAUUGUUGCAGCCAUGGGCUGCAACAUCCAUCUCGUUGAAGGUCUUCCAAUAUUUGCUGCCCUUCUAUUAACAAGCAUAAUGUCCUUAUCCAGGGACUGAACCCUCGUAAUAACAUGUCCAAGGUCUGUGAGACUUAGCCUCACCACCCUUGCCUCUAAGGAGUAUUCUGGCUGUACCUCUUCCAAGACAGAUUUGUUUGUUCUCUUGGCAGUCCAUGGCAUAUGCAGUAUUCUUCUCCAACACCAUAAUUCAAAAAUGUCAAUUCUUCUUCAGUCUUCCUUAUUCAUUGUCCAGCAUUCACUUGCAUAUGAGGAGACUGAAAACACUAUAGCUUGAGUCAGGCGCACCUUAGUCUUCAAGGUUACAUCUUUGCUUUUCAAAAUGUUGAAGAUGUCUUUUGCAGCAGAUUUGCUCAAUGCAAUGUGUCUUUUGAUUUCUUGACUGCUGCUUCCAUGGCUGUUGAUUGUGGAUCCAAGUAAAAUGAAAUCCUUGACAGCUUCAAUCUUUUCUCCAUUUAUCACGAUAUUGCUUAUUGGUCCAUUGUGAAGAUAUUUGUUUUCUUUAUGUUGAGGUGUAGUCCAUACUGAAAACUGGACUCUUUGAUCUUAUCAGUAAAUGCUUCAAGUCCUCUUCAUUUCCAGCAAGCAAGCUUGUGUCAUCUGCACAACACAGGUUGUUAAUGAGUCUUCCUCCAAUCCUAAUGCCCCGUUCUUCAUAUAGUCCAGAUUCUCGAUUUGCUCAGCAUACAGAUUGAAUAAGUAUGAUUAAAGGAUAUGACCCUGAUGCAUGCCUUUCCUGAAUUUAAACCACGAGGUAUCCCCUUGUUCUGUUUCAAAGACUGUCUCUUGAUCUAUGUAUAGGUUCCUCAUGAGCACAAUUAAGUGUUCUGGAAUUCCUGUUCUUGACAAUGUUAUCCAUAAUUUGUUAUGAUCCACACAGUCAAAUGCCUUUGCAUAGUCAAUAAAACACAGAUAAACAUCUUUCUGGUAUUUACUGCUUUCAGUCAGGAUCCAUCUGACAUCAGCAAUGAUAUCCCUUGUUCCACAUCCUGAAUCCAGCCUGAAUUUCUGGGACCUCCCUGUCAAUGUACUGCUGUAGGCACUUUUAAAUGACCUUCAGUAAAAUUUUACCUGUGUAUGAUAUUAAUGGUAUUGUUUGAUAAUUUCUGCAUUUGGAUGGGCCACCUUUCUUGGGAAUAGGCAUAAAUAUGAAUCUCUUUCAGUUGGUUGGCCAGGUAGCUGUUUUCCAAAUUUCUUGGCAUAGAAGAAUGAGCACUUCCAGCACUGCAUCGCUUUGCUGAAAUAUCUCAAUUGGUAUUCUGUCAAUUCCUGGAGCCUUGUUUUCACCAAUGACUUCAGUGCAGCUUGGACUUCUUCCCUUCAGUACCGUCGGUUCCUGAUCAUAUGCUACCUCCUGAAAUGGUUGAACAUCGACCAAUUCUUUUUGGUAUAGUGACUGUGGGUAUUCCUUCCAUCUUUUUUUUACAUAUAUAAUUUUUAUUGUGCUUUAAGUGAAAGUUUACAAAUCAAGUCACUCUCUCACACAAAAACCCAUAUAUACCUUGCUUUUUUAUCACACUCCCAAUUACUCUCCCCCUAAUGAGACAGCCCUCUCUCUCCCUCCACUCUCUUUUUUCGUGUCCAUUUCGCCAGCUUCUAACCCUCUGCACCCUCUCAUCUCCUCUGCAGGCAGGAGAUGCCAACAUAGUCUCAAGUGUCCACCUCAUCCAAGAAGCUCACUCCUCACCAGCAUCCCUCUCCAACCCAUUGUCCAGUCCAAUCUGUGUCUGAAGAGUUGGCUUCAGGACCUUCCAUCUUUCUUUGAUGCUUCAUGCAUCAUUUAAUCUCCUCCCAUAGAAUCCUUCAAUAUUGUAACUUGAGGCUUAAAUUUUUUCUUCAGUUCUUUCAGCUUGAGAAGUGCUGAGCAUGUUUUUCCCUUUUGGUUUUCUAUCUCCUGGUCUUUGCAUAUGUCAUCAUAAUACUUUAAUUUGUCUUCUUGAGCUACCCUUUGAAAUAUCCUGUUUAGCUCUGAUGUCCUACUGAGUGCCAACCACUGCUUCGGAUCCUGAGAAUAUAGCAAUGAAGGUGGUACAAAUGGUUAAGUGCUUAGCUAUUAACUGAAAGGUUGGUGGUUCAAAUUUACCCAGAGUUGCUUCAGAAGAAAGGUCUGGCAAUCUAGUUUCAAAAGGUCACAGCCAUUAAAAAUCCUAAGAAGAAAUUCUACUCUGACCCACACGGAGUCAUCAUGAGUGGGAAUUGACUGUACAGCAACUGGUUUGGUUUUGGUUUUGGUUCCUGUUUUCAUUUAAAUUCAGAGGUUGGGCUUCUGCUUCCAGCCAAGAUGGAGUAACAGGGACGGAUUUAUUCUCUUGUCUUAAACAACUGUCUUAGGCUGGAUUUUCUAGAGGAGCAAAACCAAUGAAAUGUAUAUAUACAAAUAUACAGAAAACCAAAAACCAAACCCGUUGCUGUCAAGUUGAUUCUGAUUCAUAGCAACACUAUACAUACAGAGAGAUUUAAUUCAAGGAAAUGGCUCACACAGUUGUGGAGGCUGGCAAGUCCCAAAUCCGUGGGUCAGACAUCAGGAUGGAGGCUUCUCUUGACUCACAUGUUUGCAGGGGUUGACAAACCCAAAAUCUGAAGGUCAAUGAGGCAGACUGCUGGCUCAUAUCCCAAGUACCAGAGGUCAGGUGAUGACGAGCCGGAUGCAGGAGAUCCAGAGUCAGAGUGAGCCUUGCUAGAACAUGCAUUUACACACUGGAGGCAAGCCACACCCUCAGGGAAAAUUCCCUUUCAACUGAUUGGUUGCUCAUAGCAGAUCUCAUCAUUGAGGUGAUUAUAUCAGAUCUCUUCACGGAAAUGAUUGUAUUAUAUUACAUUAUGGAAGAGCAAUCAGUCCAAUGUCUUUCAAACCACUGAGAAUCAUCACUUAGCUAAGCUGACACUUAACAUUAACCAUCACAAGAGCUAAUAAACUUGACAAAAUAUAUAAAAUGGUGACUUUUAAGACAUUUCUUAUCAGACAAUUAAAGAUAGUGAUCUCUGAGAAGCAAAAAAACAAAUGAGAUGAUCCCUACAAUUACCUGAGCUUACUUCCUAGAGAAAGUUUCCAGGUCCUGGCACGAAAGGGUGUGGGGAGGCAGUAAGAAUACAGGCACAGCCCAGUGUAUUCCCUGAGGUAGGAACAUGGAGCUAGGAGUCUGGGGAAGUGAAAGGGGCCAGACUCCAUAGGGCAAAAUACUAGAGAAGAAAGAGCUGUAUGAGAGCCUACAGUGAGUCUCUCCCCCAGUAUUCAGUUGAGUAUUAGUCAGCCCAUGCCUGUGUGAAAACUUCCUAAAGGUGAGGAAGUAACCAUUCAAGAUAAUUUGAAGAAAUAGUACCUGUGGGUCACAUAGGGUCAGGAAUAGUAACUGUUCCCAAUAGCCAGAGUGAAGAGCUUCAUAUUUCAUGGGGCAUUGAUUAAAGUACUAAGAAGGGUGCUGCCUCAGUAAUGGAGAAAAAUUAGUUCUGGACAAAGCACAACUCCAGUCCUACCUAACAAAGCUUAAGAGCAAACUGCAAAAGGAAAAAAAAAAAAAAAAGUUUCUAAGUAAAUUAACCC